UCCAUUCUUUUAUUUUCAACAUGCUUGUAUUGCUAUAUUUAAAGUGAGUUUCUUGUUGACAACAUUGAGUUGACAACAUUGCCUUUUAAUUGUUGUAUUUAGACCAGCCCCAUUAAAUGUAAUUAUUUAUAUGGUAGGGCUUAAAUCUUCUAUUUUAUUUUCUGUUUAUUUUUUCUUCCUUUUUCCCCUCUAUUUUCCUUUUCCCACCUGCCUGUGGGUUUUUGAAUGUUGUUUAGAUUUCAUUUUGAUUUAUGUAUAGUGUUUUGGUGUUACCUCUUUUAUAUGACCUUUUUGGUGGUUGCUUUAGUUAUUACAUUAUACACACUUAAGUUACCACAGUUUACUGGGGGUGUCUUUUUACUAGUUCAAGUGAAGUAUAGAAACCCUACCCACUGUUAUGUUCUUUUACCCUCCACCAUUUAUAAUUAUCUUAGCGAUUUCCUCCAUAUACAUUUAGAACCACAUCAUAUAGUGUUAAGAUUUUUGCUUCAACCCUCAAACCUAAUUUAGAAAAUGGAAGAGCAGAAGGAGUCUAUUGUAUUUACCCAUAUUUUUGGUUCUUGUGUUUUUUCUUUUCUACUGAUGUUCCAACAUUCUGAAUUUUAUCAUUUCUUCUUUGUUUCAAGAACUUUCCUUACCUAUUCAUUUAGGGUGGGUCUAUUGGUGACACAUUCUCUUAGUUUUCUUUCACCUGGGAAUGACCUGAUUUUCUCUUCCUUCCUACAGGUUAUUUUUGCUGGGUAUAGGAUUUUGGGUUGACAGUUCUUUCUUUCAGCAUUUGUAAAAUGUUAUGUCAUUUCCUCUGGUCUCCAAGGUUUCUGAUGAGAAAUACACUGUCGUUCAAAUUGUUAGCUUCUAUACAUAAUGUGCAUUUUCUCUCUUACUUCUUUCAAAAGUUUGUUUUUGUUUCAGAAAUUUGACUAUGAUGUGUCCUGGUGUGGAUUUCUUUGGAUUUUCCUCUUUAGGAUUUUAUCAGCUUCUUGGAUCACUAGAUUUAUGUCUUUUGCUAACUUUGGGAAAUUUUCAGCCACUAACACCUUAAGUCCUUUUUCAGCCCCAUCUUCUUUCUCCUCUCUUUUUACAAUUCUGAUGAUAUAAAUGUUUGAGCUGUUUUUAUAGUCCCACAUGUCCUUGAGUCUAUGUUCAUUUCUUAAAAAAUAUAUUUAUUUAUGGUGUUCAGAUUUGGUCAUUUCUAUUGUUCUAUUUUCUAUUUUAUUGAUUCUUUCCUCUGUCACUUUCAUUCUUCAGGGCAGUGGUGAAGAUUCUGCCUCAUCUGUAGGUCUCCUCUGACACCACACCAGUGGGCGUCCAUGGGGUCUCUCCUGACACUGCUGGAGGGGAGGCUUAUAGGGAUGAAAUUCAAGGCUCUUUACUUGACCUUCUUGGACACAACUCUGGCAGCGGUAUUGGGGUGUCUUGUGAGGGUGGAAGUCUAGGUUUCCUACUUAGCCUUUGUUGGAAUGGGUAGGGUGGGGACAACAGUGUUUUUCUGUGGUGUUUGGAUGGAAUAGAGUAGUUAUUGUCUAAAAGUUUUCUAUCUUGCUUGGCUCUUCCUUUCCUAGUCUUUUUGGCAAGACAGCAAAAAAUCUGCACUUGUUGGUGUUUAAUGGGCACCUGGCUUCCUUAGCUGCAAAUCUGAGAUAUAUGAGGCAAACCAAAAAUCCAGGGUACUAAUGACCAUAUGACUCCUUGGGUCUUGAGAUCCCUAGACAUUCUGUUGUCUUUCUUCCACCUUUCCGAUUAUUCUUAUGUUUGUUUUACAUAAAACAUUCAGAGCUUUUAGUUGUACUGAGCAGGAGGAAUGAAAAAAGUACAUCUACUCUGUCCUCCCAGAAGCAGAGGUUCAGAACUUCUUAUAUACAUAUCUCCACACAAAAAAGUGAGCUAUGAACCAUAGCUGCUAUUUCUAUCAUUUUACUUUCACAUUUUAUUAUGGGGAUUCUCUUUAGGAUAUAAGUCCCUGAAAAAUGCCACUUUUAAUUGUUGUAUAAUAUAGCAUUGCUUUGAUAGGUCUCAAUUAUUCAACUAAUCUUAUUUUAAAAAAUAUUUAGGCUAUUUUCAGUUUUUCACUAGUUUAGAUACUACUAAGUAAACAUAUGUUUUUCAUAAUAAUUGCCUGAUUUUCUGAUUAUUUUUCUUAGUAUAUAUUUCUGGAAGGGGAGUUUCUAGAAGAGAGGGUAUGAAAUAUUAAAAGAUCCUUCAUAAACUUUUGUUUCCAGGACAGUUGUACUGAUUUUGGCUUCUUAGAGCAGCAUUCUCCUAAGACAGAGUGCCUGACUUACCAUACUCUGAAGCUGAACAUUAUUAGUUAAAAACUUUAAAGGGGAAAAAGAGAAUUUUAAAAUUGUAAAUAGGAUUUCUUUGAUUAAUAGUGAGUUUGAACUUCACUAUAAUGCUAAUUCAAUAAUUUUACCAAAAACAUGAAAGUGUAAGAAUAAAUCACCAUAUUCAGGAAAUUUAAAGCUUGAUGAUAUCAUAAUUUGAUCUUAUGGUAUUAUAAUAUAUCAUGAUAAUGUAUCAUGAUAUAAUAUGAUAUUUAAUCUAUAUACAUAAUAAAAUUACAUAGAACUACACACACACACACAGAAACACAUACAAAUGAGUGGAUAUAAAACAGGUGAAAUCAGACACUUGUAAUGAGUAUUGGGUAUUGUAUAAAGUGUUGAAUCAUUAUACAGUAUACCUGAAACUAAUAUUACACUGUAUGUUAACCAAUUGGAAUUUGAAUAAAAACUUUAAAAAAAAUCAAGGUAUUUUUAAAAGGAAAAAAAAACAGGUGAAAUUUGAGUAAGAUCUGUGGGUUGUACCCAUAUUAACUCCUUAAUUUUGAUAUUAUACUCUAGUUGAAUAAAUUGUUACUACUGGAGGAAACUGCCUGAUGGGUACAUGGUACCUCUCUGAACUAUUUUAUUAAUGUUGGUAAUCAGUAUCCUCUGUUUUAUUUCUAUAAAUGUUAUUCUUUUGGAGUGUCUGAACCAGCCUGGUUCUUGAACUAGUUUUUUCCAAAGUUUCUCAGUUUAGAUCAGAGACAAGAGAACUCUCUAUUCUAGUAGACACGCCUGAAUCUGAUAUGGACAUUUGUCUUUUCUCAUGGGGGAGGCCACACUCUUGUUGGGUAUAUCAGAUAUCUGGCCAGGACAGUGCUUCAUACCUUGUUCCUGACUCAUACUUGAACCUGGGGUUUCUACUUCCCACCUCUCUAUUCUGCUGGGUAGGAGGACACUGAAUCUCUUGCCAUUUGACCCCAACUGGAAAUAGAGUCUGUUCUGUUCUUUGUUUUUCCCAGAAGAGGAUCUUGUAAUUUUCCACAGAACCUGUGACAUUGGAGGGUUAUGAAGAAUAUUGACGGGGUGGUCUCUGAUCCAAAGUAAGAAUGGGCAUAUAAAAUGAUUAGCUUUUAAAAUAGUAAAUAACUUUCUAAAGACUAUAAUAAUAGUAAAAAAGAAUUUCAACCAGUGUGUAAGAAUAUUCCUAGGCUAUCAGGAGUUUUCCCUGUCAGGCAGGACCAGAGUCAGGGCUUGCAAUGUUGCUUUUGAAUUUUGUCUGCUCCCAUAGCAAUAUACAUCCAAAUACAACUUUUGUUGUUCUGAUUUGGGCCAUACAUAAAGCAUACUCACUUAGAUAUCAAACUUAAUGUGCCUUGCAGUUAUAUUCCCAAAGGACAGAAUUGACAAAAUAUUCUGUUCAAAAGAAGUGAAGCUUUGGAAGUAGACAUGCAAGAGGAGAUCAGAGAAGGUCUCAUUAGACCCUCAGUUAGUAGGAAGGGGUUUGGAGUACCACAUCCAGUUUGUGGUAUCGUACUUUGACGUGGCAAGAAUGUACCAGUGCACUUUCUCAAGUGUGGUCUUCGGCUACCUGCAUUAGGAAGGGGGACCUAAACAUUCUGAUUCAGGGCCCAUUCCAGAUAUCCCCACAGCAUCAGACCACGGUGGCGGCUUGGGAAACCAGCAGUCUUCGUCUUUAACAAGCAUUCCAGGUAUUCAUAGGCAUACUGAAAUUUGAUGCCAAAACACAGCCUCUAGGGUUUUUGAGAAAUCUAGAAACCAUGCUGUCUGAGUUUCAAAGGGAACUAUAACUAGUUUGGAGAAAAGCAGGCUUGGAGAGGGGCUGAUGACUAUCUGGUUUUCAAGGCCUGUCUUGGAGACUUAGUCUCAUUAUUGCAGAAGUCCUAGGAUCAGUAUAUGCGAGUUAUAUAGUGGCAGAUUGCAGCCCAAUAUAAAAAGAAAAAAAAAUUUGUCUUUUAAAUUAGCAUUUAAAAAUGUAAGGCUGCCUUGAUACUAACCUUCUGAACACUGGAAAUUUUCAGUGAAAGGGUACAGAACCAUGUUAAGUAGAGUCAGGGUCUACAUCUCUAAAACAUUUUCCAAGAAUCUAUGAUCCCAUGUCACUUAGUUGGUUCUUCUGCCUUCAGCAUUUAUGUCCCUCCAAAUCUAUAGAAUUUACAUCUUCCUUUGUUAAGCCUUGGAAAACCAGUGUGUUAACUACUUUCUGUUUUGAGGUACUUUUUAAACAUUUUAAAAAAUGUUUAUUUAUUUUGAGAGAGAGAGUGAGUGAGUGAGCGAGCAAGUGCUAGCAUGGGCGAGCACAGGCAAGCAGAGAGAGAAAGAGAGAGAGAGAGAGAGAGGAAUCCCAAGUAGGCUCCAGGCUAUUGGCAUGGAGCCCACUUGGGGCUUGAUCUCCUGAACAUUGAAAUGAUGGCAGAAAUCAAGAGUCGGACACUUAACUGGCUGUGCCAACCAGGCUCCCCUGUUUUGAGGUACUUUUUUGUAUGAUACUUACAUCCCUUGAUAUGUUGUGCUUCCUUCUAGACCCCAUAGGUCUGUGUGAAGAAAAGUUUCUAGGCACCCCAGUGUUAUUGAUGCCCUCCAUUGCCUUUCUGUUUCUUAAAUGGCAGCCCUGUGUGGUUGGAAAGUAUCACUGACAAUGAGGCCUCAUCUUUCUUGUCCAUUUUGUAAUCACACACCUUUCACCCCUUUACUUCACUUUUGAAAAAAUAUCUGGAAUUAUUUCUGUCUACUCUUUCACUUUUCUGAGGUGAUUUUGGAUUUGUUGUUUUGAGUACAUGUCUGAACUGAGGGGCCUGGGAUUAACCUUGGACCACUUGGGAAUCUCUUAUCCAUUCCAUCUAUGGCAUGAAGCUUACCAGCAAGUUCAGGGUCAGGAUGGUGUAUCUGCUCUCAUACACUGUGUAUGUGUGAUGUGCUAUGUGAUGAGAUCUGAUUGAUAACAAUGGACCCCGUGAUCCUCCUCUUGUGUCUCUCCUUCUAGGUGAGGAGGUGUCACCUCCUUCUAGGUGUCUCUAGAAGAUGGGGAGAAGGGUAUGAUGGAGAGAAAUGUUAUACUUCUCAAGUUAGUACUACUAAUAUUUCUCAGAAGGGCAAAUUAUAGAAGACGGAGCCCAUUAUUUAGUCAGCAUUUUCAAAAAUAAAUUGAUACUUCCAAGUAAAAAGAUCGUGCACGUUCCCUGAUAGAGGAAUCUUUUUCCUGGCAGGUGACAUGCUGUGGCUUUGUGUAGAAAUGCCUAAAUGUCUCUUCUUUUUAUCUGUUAUUACUAUCAACAAUUCUGACACCAAAUGUGUGGGUUUUCCAUGCCAAGAAAUUCUCCUAUUGUCUGUCAACACCAACUGGAUGUCCUACACUUCAAUUCAAUUCUGAUACUAUCUGCCCAGAGUUAAGAGACCCCAGAGUCCCAUAAGACUGCCUCCCACUUAACAUGCCAAUUGUAAGUAGUGGGUUCCCAGGGAACUCAUGCUUUUAUCUGACUUGACUACAAAUCAGGAGUUCCUAUGACCCCCUCCCCUGGUGUGGUAAUUUGUUAUAAUGGCUCAUAGGACUCAGGAAAACAAACACUUUGCUUACUAUUACCAGUUUAUUAUAAAGGAUAUUAUGAAGGAUACAAAUGUACAGGCUGAUGAAGAGGUACAUAAGGCAAGAUCCAGAAGCGUCCUUAGUGCAGCAGCUUCAGUCCCAGUGGAGUUUGGGGUGUGCUUCUUUCCUGGCACAUGAGUACAUACAUUUGCCAUCCUGGAAGCUCUUGGAACCCUACUAUCUAGGUUUUUUAUGAAGGUUUCAUUACAUAGGCACGAGUGAUCAAAUCAUUGGCUGUUGAUGAUUAACUCAAUUUCCAGCCCUUCUCCCUCCUUGGAGGUCAGGAGUGGGGCUGAAAGUGUCAACCUUCUAGUCACAUGAUUGGUGCCUCUGGCAACCAGCUCCCAUCCAAAGUUAUCCAACACCCACUCAGCACUUUAGCACAAACUCAGGUAGGGUUAGAAGGGGCUUAUUUUGAAUAACAAAACACACUACUCUCACCCCCUAUCACUCAGAAAAUUACUAGGACUGGGCACAAAGACAAAAUUCAUAUUGGUUAUUAUAUUACAGUUCCAUUUAUUCUUGUUUUGUUUAAAUUUUCCCUUUCUUAAAAGUAGGCAACUAAUAACAAUGACCACUUAGUAUGGGAGAAGGUGAUUAACUAAUGUGGUUAAACUUAUUUGAAGCUCUUGGAGAAGACUGCUUUGGAUGAGAAAACCUCAUUCAUGUGAAAACUGUUAAUUACCCUGUUAAUUACCCUUUUUCUGAUGGUUAUUUUUUUCUAAAUAAUUAUAAGUAAAUUCUGAGAUUUUCAUCCCCCAUUCCCCUAUUAAAAAAAUUAAAUAUCAUGUCUCCUGCAUAAAGGAGUCCUUGUUGAGGCUAGGGAUCACUUGCUGUAAGUCACCUUGUCUUUACCUCUAUCAUUACAGAGCCCUUCAUAGUCCAGCAAGCGUGGGGGUCUCCUUGGGCCUUACGGUGACCCAAUGGAAAAGGCUGAGGCUCAGGUGUCUGGGGCUUUGAAGUUUGCUACUCUGAGUUGCUGUUCAGUGAGCUGAAAACCCUGGUCCAGACUUAGUGCUUUCACAGCCUUCUCCCUCCUGUGGAGGGGACACUGUGUCUGUCCAUCGCUGCCUUCCUCACCCUCAACUUCUUAUCAGUGGUAGCUCCUUGAUUAUGGAACCGAAACAGGGAUUUCUGAAUCUCACAGUGGACGAAUCUUAAGUUCUCGGGACUGAUGCAACUGGCAGCAGCCCAGUGGCAGUUCCACUAAAACAACUGAACUCCAGCACCUCAAUUUCGAUCUCGGAACCGUCCUCUUACAUUUGUUUCUUUGCAUACAUAAUUUGUCAAACUUUGCAAGCCGCACACCAAAAUUCUGCCAACAAAGAACAGGAAGUUUGCGCCAUCCUUCUGGGUUUACUGCUAUCUUCUUGGUUUUGCAGUGACUGGAAUCGGGCCCUGGUGAAAGUCUUAACUCAUUAGCAGUUUGGAAUUGCGCUCAAGGCUUCUGGGCAAUGAAUUGAAAAAAAGAAAAAAAAAAAACAACCUGAGCAACAAGGGGACUUGGGCACAUUAUUUAUACAUCUGCUACACACGUGUACAUCCCUCAGGAAAAAAGGCAGAAUUUGAACUGUUCUUUGAGCAACGUGUAGGCCUUAGGCUGGCGAAGGUCAGGGAAGAUGCUCCAGGAGAAAGAAACAAUAGGAUACAUCAUGGUCUCCUCAUAGGAUGCUAGGAGCCUACCUGCUUGGAGGGAAAGCUGCAACCCUGCCUAAAAAAAAUGCCCGAGCCGGUCUCUAGAAUCCCGCAGACACAGUUCCGGUGUGAUGUGUUGCGCAGUUCUCCAUGAGCUUCUCAGGGUUUCCAUCUGGCUGCUUCACAAGCAUUUUAGUCCCACACCUCUGCUGAAGAAGAGG
Molecule: long non-coding RNA, 7724 nt
Organism: Felis catus (domestic cat)
Lineage: Eukaryota; Metazoa; Chordata; Mammalia; Carnivora; Felidae
Exons: 5
Source: RefSeq, a predicted model, not a curated record